This 408-nucleotide ribosomal RNA is filed under the name uncultured Actinomycetes bacterium. RNAcentral's name for it is "bacterial SSU rRNA". It matches the Rfam family "Bacterial small subunit ribosomal RNA", at positions 777 to 1188 of the family's 1533-position model. Lineage: Bacteria; Bacillati; Actinomycetota; Actinomycetes. The record is from RNAcentral.
AUUAGAUACCCGGGUAGUCCACGCCGUAAACGGUGGGCGCUAGUUGUGCGAACCUUCCACGGUUUGUGCGACGCAGCUAACGCAUUAAGCGCCCCGCCUGGGGAGUACGAUCGCAAGAUUAAAACUCAAAGGAAUUGACGGGGCCCCGCACAAGCAGCGGAGCAUGCGGCUUAAUUCGACGCAACGCGAAGAACCUUACCAAGGCUUGACAUAUACAGGAAUAUGGCAGAGAUGUCAUAGCCGCAAGGUCUGUAUACAGGUGGUGCAUGGUUGUCGUCAGCUCGUGUCGUGAGAUGUUGGGUUAAGUCCCGCAACGAGCGCAACCCUCGUUCUGUGUUGCCAGCAUUUAGUUGGGGACUCACAGGAGACUGCCGGGGUUAACUCGGAGGAAGGUGGGGAUGACGUCAA